Molecule: ribosomal RNA, 902 nt
Filed under: Ferrimonas aestuarii
Lineage: Bacteria; Pseudomonadati; Pseudomonadota; Gammaproteobacteria; Alteromonadales; Ferrimonadaceae
Description: Ferrimonas sp. IMCC35002 partial 23S ribosomal RNA
Rfam family: Bacterial large subunit ribosomal RNA
Source: RNAcentral
UUGCGGUGAAGAUGCCGUAUACCCGCGGCUAGACGGAAAGACCCCGUGAACCUUUACUACAGCUUGGCACUGAACAUUGACCCUACAUGUGUAGGAUAGGUGGGAGGCUUUGAAGCAUUGUCGCUAGAUGAUGUGGAGCCGACCUUGAAAUACCACCCUUGUAGUGUUGAUGUUCUAACUUAGGUCCCUGAAUCGGGAUUGAGGACAGUGCCUGGUGGGUAGUUUGACUGGGGCGGUCUCCUCCCAAAGAGUAACGGAGGAGCACGAAGGUUGGCUAAGUAUGGUCGGACAUCAUACGGUUAGUGCAAUGGCAUAAGCCAGCUUAACUGCGAGACAGACACGUCGAGCAGGUACGAAAGUAGGUCAUAGUGAUCCGGUGGUUCUGCAUGGAAGGGCCAUCGCUCAACGGAUAAAAGGUACUCCGGGGAUAACAGGCUGAUACCGCCCAAGAGUUCAUAUCGACGGCGGUGUUUGGCACCUCGAUGUCGGCUCAUCACAUCCUGGGGCUGAAGUCGGUCCCAAGGGUAUGGCUGUUCGCCAUUUAAAGUGGUACGCGAGCUGGGUUCAGAACGUCGUGAGACAGUUCGGUCCCUAUCUGCCGUGGGCGUUUGAGAAUUGAGAGGGGCUGCUCCUAGUACGAGAGGACCGGAGUGGACGAACCUCUGGUGUUCCGGUUGUCACGCCAGUGGCAUUGCCGGGUAGCUAAGUUCGGAAUCGAUAACCGCUGAAAGCAUCUAAGCGGGAAGCGAGCCUCAAGAUGAGUUCUCACUUGGACUUUAAGUCCACUAAAGGGCCGUGGAAGACUACCACGUUGAUAGGCAGGGUGUGUAAGCGUUGUGAGGCGUUGAGCUAACCUGUACUAAUGACCCGUGAGGCUUAACCAUACAACACCCAAUGGGUUU